This 1050-nucleotide ribosomal RNA is filed under the name Salmonella enterica subsp. enterica. Its description in RNAcentral is "bacterial SSU rRNA". It matches the Rfam family "Bacterial small subunit ribosomal RNA", at positions 66 to 1105 of the family's 1533-position model. The record is from RNAcentral. Lineage: Bacteria; Pseudomonadati; Pseudomonadota; Gammaproteobacteria; Enterobacterales; Enterobacteriaceae.
ACGGUAACAGGAAGCAGCUUGCUGCUUCGCUGACGAGUGGCGGACGGGUGAGUAAUGUCUGGGAAACUGCCUGAUGGAGGGGGAUAACUACUGGAAACGGUAGCUAAUACCGCAUAAUGUCGCAAGACCAAAGAGGGGGACCUUCGGGCCUCUUGCCAUCAGAUGUGCCCAGAUGGGAUUAGCUAGUAGGUGGGGUAACGGCUCACCUAGGCGACGAUCCCUAGCUGGUCUGAGAGGAUGACCAGCCACACUGGAACUGAGACACGGUCCAGACUCCUACGGGAGGCAGCAGUGGGGAAUAUUGCACAAUGGGCGCAAGCCUGAUGCAGCCAUGCCGCGUGUAUGAAGAAGGCCUUCGGGUUGUAAAGUACUUUCAGCGGGGAGGAAGGCGAUGUGGUUAAUAACCGCGUCGAUUGACGUUACCCGCAGAAGAAGCACCGGCUAACUCCGUGCCAGCAGCCGCGGUAAUACGGAGGGUGCAAGCGUUAAACGGAAUUACUGGGCGUAAAGCGCACGCAGGCGGUCUGUCAAGUCGGAUGUGAAAUCCCCGGGCUCAACCUGGGAACUGCAUCCGAAACUGGCAGGCUUGAGUCUCGUAGAGGGGGGUAGAAUUCCAGGUGUAGCGGUGACAUGCGUAGAGAUCUGGAGGAAUACCGGUGGCGAAGGCGGCCCCCUGGACGAAGACUGACGCUCAGGUGCGAAAGCGUGGGGAGCACACAGGAUUAGAUACCCUGGUAGUCCACGCCGUAAACGAUGUCGACUUGGAGGUUGUGCCCUUGAGGCGUGGCUUCCGGAGCUAACGCGUUAAGUCGACCGCCUGGGGAGUACGGCCGCAAGGUUAAAACUCAAAUGAAUUGACGGGGGCCCGCACAAGCGGUGGAGCAUGUGGUUUAAUUCGAUGCAACGCGAAGAACCUUACCUGGUCUUGACAUCCACAGAACUUUCCAGAGAUGGAUUGGUGCCUUCGGGAACUGUGAGACAGGUGCUGCAUGGCUGUCGUCAGCUCGUGUUGUGAAAUGUUGGGUUAAGUCCCGCAACGAGCGCAACCCU